Molecule: ribosomal RNA, 463 nt
Filed under: uncultured Desulfarculaceae bacterium
Lineage: Bacteria; Pseudomonadati; Thermodesulfobacteriota; Desulfarculia; Desulfarculales; Desulfarculaceae
Description: bacterial SSU rRNA
Rfam family: Bacterial small subunit ribosomal RNA
Source: RNAcentral
GCACAAGCGGUGGAGCAUGUGGUUUAAUUCGACGCAACGCGAAGAACCUUACCUGGGUUUGACAUCCUUUGACCACCCUGGAAACAGGGUUUAUCCGACUUGUCGGAACAGAGUGACAGGUGCUGCAUGGCUGUCGUCAGCUCGUGUCGUGAGAUGUUGGGUUAAGUCCCGCAACGAGCGCAACCCUUGUCUCUAGUUGCCAAUAUUAAGUUAGGGACUCUAGAGAGACUGCCUCGGUCAACGGGGAGGAAGGUGGGGAUGACGUCAAGUCCUCAUGGCCUUUAUACCCAGGGCUACACACGUGCUACAAUGGGCUGUACAAAGGGCAGCUAACUCGCGAGAGUACGCCAAUCCCAAAAAGCAGUUCUCAGUUCGGAUUGGAGUCUGCAACUCGACUCCAUGAAGUUGGAAUCGCUAGUAAUCGUGGAUCAGCACGCCACGGUCCGAAUACGUUCCGGGCCUU